This 497-nucleotide ribosomal RNA is filed under the name uncultured bacterium. RNAcentral describes it as "partial 16S ribosomal RNA". It matches the Rfam family "Bacterial small subunit ribosomal RNA", at positions 28 to 507 of the family's 1533-position model. The record is from RNAcentral.
GAUGAACGCUGGCGGCGUGCCUAAUACAUGCCAGUCGAGCGAACAGAUGAGGAGCUUGCUCCUCUGACGUUAGCGGCGGACGGGUGAGUAACACGUGGAUAACCUACCUAUAAGACUGGGAUAACUUCGGGAAACCGGAGCUAAUACCGGAUAAUAUAUUGAACCGCAUGGUUCAAUAGUGAAAGACGGUUUUGCUGUCACUUAUAGAUGGAUCCGCGCCGCAUUAGCUAGUUGGUAAGGUAACGGCUUACCAAGGCAACGAUGCGUAGCCGACCUGAGAGGGUGAUCGGCCACACUGGAACUGAGACACGGUCCAGACUCCUACGGGAGGCAGCAGUAGGGAAUCUUCCGCAAUGGGCGAAAGCCUGACGGAGCAACGCCGCGUGAGUGAUGAAGGUCUUCGGAUCGUAAAACGCUGUUAUUAGGGAAGAACAAAUGUGUAAGUAACUAUGCACGUCUUGACGGUACCUAAUCAGAAAGCCACGGCUAACUACGUG